GCUAGCCUCGGUGGGGAACCCGACGAGACGCGCCGUACCGGGACGAAGGCAAAGACGACGCACC
Molecule: non-coding RNA, 64 nt
Filed under: Streptomyces sp.
Lineage: Bacteria; Bacillati; Actinomycetota; Actinomycetes; Kitasatosporales; Streptomycetaceae
Also listed under: 1 other name
Source: RNAcentral